RNAcentral lists this ribosomal RNA (702 nucleotides) under Janthinobacterium lividum. RNAcentral describes it as "bacterial SSU rRNA". It matches the Rfam family "Bacterial small subunit ribosomal RNA", at positions 91 to 789 of the family's 1533-position model. Lineage: Bacteria; Pseudomonadati; Pseudomonadota; Betaproteobacteria; Burkholderiales; Oxalobacteraceae. The record is from RNAcentral.
GCGAGUGGCGAACGGGUGAGUAAUAUAUCGGAACGUACCCUGGAGUGGGGGAUAACGUAUCGAAAGUUACGCUAAUACCGCAUACGAUCUAAGGAUGAAAGUGGGGGAUCGCAAGACCUCAUGCUCCUGGAGCGGCCGAUAUCUGAUUAGCUAGUUGGUAGGGUAAAAGCCUACCAAGGCAUCGAUCAGUAGCUGGUCUGAGAGGACGACCAGCCACACUGGAACUGAGACACGGUCCAGACUCCUACGGGAGGCAGCAGUGGGGAAUUUUGGACAAUGGGCGCAAGCCUGAUCCAGCAAUGCCGCGUGAGUGAAAAAGGCCUUCGGGUUGUAAAGCUCUUUUGUCAGGGAAGAAAAGGCUAUGGAUAAUACCUGUGGCUCAUGACGGUACCUGAAGAAUAAGCACCGGCUAACUACGUGCCAGCAGCCGCGGUAAUACGUAUGGUGCAAGCGUUAAUCGGAAUUACUGGGCGUAAAGCGUGCGCAGGCGGUUUUGUAAGACUGUCGUGAAAUCCCCGGGCUCAACCUGGGAAUGGCGAUGGUGACUGCAAGGCUAGAGUUUGGCACAGGGGGGUAGAAUUCCACGUGUAGCAGUGAAAUGCGUAGAUAUGUGGAGGAACACCGAUGGCGAAAGCAGCCCCCUGGGUCAAAACUGACGCUCAUGCACGAAAGCGUGGGGAGCAAACAGGAUUAUAUACCCUG